UGCACUGGGAAGCUACUGCUUCUCUCAAGGCUCAGUAGCAGCCCUUUGCCAGGGUCUCCUCGUGCCCCCUUUUCUGGGCGGGGGGCUCCAGGCUGGCUCUGGUGCCUCUCCGGGGCUUCCCCUUCUGGGUUAGGGCCUCUGUGCGUGUUUUCUCCUAGCGUAGCGUGAUAUCGUGACUUUUCUUCACUGUCUCGUGUGCUCAGUGUCUUACUGGGGAGGGGGGAGGGAAGGGGAGAGGUCUGUAGAUGUAGGUAUUUUUUGAGGGCUUACGUAGCCCGUUUUAAUUUCGUCCUGUGCCCUUGUCUGUCUCGUGUUUCUCACCUGGCCUAGGGGUGUGAGGGCAGAGGGUUAGCCUGGUUCCUGGGCUGUGCUCCCCUUGCACCUGCUGGCUGCCCUUGGCCUGUUUUCUUUCCUUUUUUUUUUUCUUCUUUUUUAGUUCGAUUUGCGUUGUCUUCCUGCCCUGCUCCGUUAGUGCUCCCUGCUGUGCCGGAGGAGAGCAUCCCUCUGCCAGGGAGGGAGCCAACAGCCAGAGGCGCAGCCAAAAGCUGCCCGGGGCCCUGCUCCCCUCCCCAAAUCCACAUCUCCUCAGAGGGCUGCUUGCAGCUGGGGCCUCAGCUCCGGCCUGGAGGCUCCAGGGCCUGUGAAAGGGAGCUGCAGGCCUCUGGUGCCUCUGCAGGUGGCUCGGGGUCCCCUGCGCGGUCACCGCGUGUCCCACCUCAGGCAGCUGUGGAGCCGGGGCUCAGUAUUUCACUACAGUAUUCCACUCGAUUCCUGUGCUGACAGGCUGGUGCUGAGAGCAGAAGCCCCCCCUUAGCUUGCAGGGCAUUAUCUCCCGUCCUGUAAGCGGCAGGAGCGGAGC
Long non-coding RNA from Oxyura jamaicensis (ruddy duck), 859 nucleotides. RefSeq lists it as uncharacterized. Lineage: Eukaryota; Metazoa; Chordata; Aves; Anseriformes; Anatidae. The record is from RefSeq and is a predicted model, not a curated record. The transcript has 4 exons.